This 398-nucleotide ribosomal RNA is filed under the name uncultured bacterium. RNAcentral's name for it is "bacterial SSU rRNA". It matches the Rfam family "Bacterial small subunit ribosomal RNA", at positions 975 to 1375 of the family's 1533-position model. The record is from RNAcentral.
CAGGACUUGACAUCCCUCGCAUAGCCUAGAGAUAGGUGAAGCCCUUCGGGGCGAGGAGACAGGUGGUGCAUGGUUGUCGUCAGCUCGUGUCGUGAGAUGUUGGGUUAAGUCCCGCAACGAGCGCAACCCCUGUUGCUAGUUGCUACCAGUAAGAUGAGCACUCUAGCGAGACUGCCGGAGACAAUUCGGAGGAAGGUGGGGAUGACGUCAAAUCAUCAUGCCCUUUAUGUCCUGGGCUACACACGUGCUACAAUGGCCGUAACAGAGGGCAGCGACUUGGUGACAGGAAGCUAAUCCCUAAAAAGCGGUCUUAGUUCGGAUUGCAGGCUGCAACUCGCCUGCAUGAAGUCGGAGUUGCUAGUAAUCGCAGGUCAGCAUACUGCGGUGAAUACGUUCCC